AGCAGCCGCGGUAAUUCCAGCUCCAAUAGCGUAUAUUAAAGUUGUUGCAGUUAAAAAGCUCGUAGUUGAAUUUCGGAAUCAGUACGCUGGUCGUGCCUUCGGUAUGUACUGGUGUCACUGAUUCCUCCCUUCUGAAGAACCAUCAUGCCAUUCACUUGGUGUGGUGGGGAAUCAGGACUGUUACUUUGAAAAAAUUAGAGUGUUUAAAGCAGGCUCGCGCUUGAAUACAUUAGCAUGGAAUAAUGAAAUAGGACGUUAAUCCUAUUUUGUUGGUUUCUAGGAUCGACGUAGUGAUUAAUAGGGAUAGUUGGGGGCAUUAGUAUUCAAUUGUCAGAGGUGAAAUUCUUGGAUU
RNAcentral lists this ribosomal RNA (352 nucleotides) under uncultured Glomeraceae. RNAcentral's name for it is "SSU rRNA". It matches the Rfam family "Eukaryotic small subunit ribosomal RNA", at positions 569 to 926 of the family's 1831-position model. The record is from RNAcentral. Lineage: Eukaryota; Fungi; Glomeromycota; Glomeromycetes; Glomerales; Glomeraceae.